UCGGCAUUAACUUUGAUGCAUGGCUGGCUCAUAUCAUUCUCCACCUCUUCAAAAGGAUUCGUCCUCGAAUCCGAACCUUCUUUUUCUUCAAGUGGUGGUGCGGGUAUGCAAUUUUCUUCCCCCUUGGACUCGACCUCAACAUUCUCAUUUAACUUUUCCUCAAUCAGCUGUUUAUCACUUGCUAAAUCGGCUACAAUGUUCUGAUUCUCAAAAGCUUGACGAGUAUCUUCCUUUUCAAGUGGCGAUAAAGAAUCACCCAUUCUCUUAAAUUGCUUGUAGUC
This 281-nucleotide long non-coding RNA is filed under the name Erythranthe guttata (spotted monkey flower). RNAcentral describes it as "long non-coding RNA (EGUT_LNC003511)". Lineage: Eukaryota; Viridiplantae; Streptophyta; Magnoliopsida; Lamiales; Phrymaceae. The record is from RNAcentral.